AGGUUGAAGGUUGGGUAACACUAACUGGAGGACCGAACCGACUAAUGUUGAAAAAUUAGCGGAUGACUUGUGGCUGGGGGUGAAAGGCCAAUCAAACCGGGAGAUAGCUGGUUCUCCCCGAAAGCUAUUUAGGUAGCGCCUCGUGAAUUCAUCUCCGGGGGUAGAGCACUGUUUCGGCAAGGGGGUCAUCCCGACUUACCAACCCGAUGCAAACUGCGAAUACCGGAGAAUGUUAUCACGGGAGACACACGGCGGGUGCUAACGUCCGUCGUGAAGAGGGAAACAACCCAGACCGCCAGCUAAGGUCCCAAAGUCAUGGUUAAGUGGGAAACGAUGUGGGAAGGCCCAGACAGCCAGGAUGUUGGCUUAGAAGCAGCCAUCAUUUAAAGAAAGCGUAAUAGCUCACUGGUCGAGUCGGCCUGCGCGGAAGAUGUAACGGGGCUAAACCAUGCACCGAAGCUGCGGCAGCGACGCU
RNAcentral lists this ribosomal RNA (475 nucleotides) under Escherichia coli. RNAcentral's name for it is "partial 23S ribosomal RNA". It matches the Rfam family "Bacterial large subunit ribosomal RNA", at positions 742 to 1215 of the family's 2925-position model. The record is from RNAcentral. Lineage: Bacteria; Pseudomonadati; Pseudomonadota; Gammaproteobacteria; Enterobacterales; Enterobacteriaceae.